Molecule: long non-coding RNA, 2619 nt
Organism: Balaenoptera acutorostrata (minke whale)
Lineage: Eukaryota; Metazoa; Chordata; Mammalia; Artiodactyla; Balaenopteridae
Exons: 3
Source: RefSeq, a predicted model, not a curated record
AACCGCCUGGGGUUCCUUUUCCCUGAAUAUUCUUUGUCGAAUAGUGUUUAGAUCAACUUGUAACUUUAGCACUUUCCUGUAAUUGUAGCUUGUCAUUUAGGACCUGGUGACCCUGGAGGUAGCUCCUGACCUUCCCCAUCAGGACCCUGGUGGAGCCAAGCAGCCCUGCUGUCUUCCUGCUGUUGUCAGGAUGGCACGGCAUCUAUUUUACCGCCAACUGGAAUCGCUGCCCAGAGGAUAUCUCCACGUCGAUGCGCCGGCCCCCUGCUCUGUCCUGGUUCUUAGAAGCACAAGCCUCUGCAGGCACCUCCGGGAGCUGUUGCAGCAUCCAAGCCCGGCCUUCUUAGCCCUGCGAUGCCCUUGCCGGGGGACUGGUAACUCUGCAGCCAGUGAGUCCCAGCUCGGGUAACUGAAAUGGAGAACAUCUGCCCUGCAAAUCCCGUGAUGAACGGUCACCGGAAGUGGACCUAUGAAGAGGAGGCCGUGGGCCAACAUCUGAGCUCCCUGAGCCGGGCAGAUUUCAAGUCCGACCCACACCUAAUCCUUCUUGAUCCAAGUUAAUUUUCUAUGGGAAAUCCAACGGGAAAAGGCUUUCUAAUUUAGUGGUGUUUUGAGACUUAAGCAACACUGGUCAAUAACAGAAGGAGAAAAUGGUGGUUUGGAUAUUCAAUGGCUUUUGGUUGACAAUAUUUUGAUCACGAGGAGUUAGGGGAAUUUUCAGUGUGAGGCCCUCCUCCCGGGAGAAGGCUGAGAGCACAGCAGGGCCAGCCUUUGGCCUCAGGCAGGAUUCUCCUUAUUACGGUAAUAAUUGCCGUUAUUAACAAUUAUAAGCAAUUAUUCUUCGCCUGUUUUCUAGCCAUCAACCCUCGGCUGCCAUUGGAGGAGAGAUCAUGGUGGUGGUUCUCAUUACCCUUCAACACCUCCUUGCUGCCAGCCUGAAACUGCCUUGAGUGGGAGUUUACGGUUCAUAGGAUUCUUUCCCCUAUAUUCCAGGCAGAAGGAAAAUCCUAUCUUGGUUUCAAACUUUUCUCCAGCUUUAACAUUAUUUUUCCAUCUACACUGAGGAAGUAGUUCUUUCUUAAAAUACACUAGCCUCUGGAACCUCAGAGAGUCUGUAGACAGAAAGACGAAGAUGGAAAACAAAAGGUAAUGUGCCUGGAGGUUCAUAGGUGAGAGGUCAGGGGGCAAGGAACCACUGUGGAGUCUGUGAUUAUUAACACAGGAUGGGAGCAAGAAAGUAGCUCUUUGUGGCUAUUGGACUGGCUCUGCCACAAACCAUUGGAACACUCAGCUUUGAAGGAUGAAAACACCAGCCCUGGACUUUGGUGUCGUCCUCCGACCGGCAGAGGCUGUUGGCUAGACGCGUGUCACGUCACAUCUGACGCUUGAUGGGCACAAGGGAGCUGCCCCCCUCCUCCUUGCCCGCUCUCCAUCCAGCGGGGACCUUGGCACUUGGCUCCAUGGCCGGGGCAGUACGGCCGGGGUAAGGAUGAGUGCGGCCGUGCACAGCUGCGCAUUGUGGCUGAGGCUUCUUGUGAUUGCUGUGGACGGAGUGGCGUUGACUGUGGUGUCCUGUAACCAAGAUUAGUCGGCAAUUCCGGAAAUCGGAGGGUAAAAAUAACUGCAGAGCCGCCAGCCCCCGGCCAGUGCCACCACUGGAGAGAGGAAUGGUGUCUGGAAAGUGCUGAGUGUCAUGAUCUUUGCUUCCUUCCGGUGGUGGGAGGUUCUCAGAAUAAGAUCUGGGCUUUGGAUUUCCCCCAAAGGGUUUCUCAGUGCUCCACGGCCUGCUGAGUCAGUGGAGUCGAGCUCGGGUGGACUUUCAAGGAGGGAUGUUGGGUUUUGAGAGAGGGGGCGAACGGGGUGGCCAACCGGGGCUGAGCCUGGGGAGGUAAGCGCUGAGGGCGCCCACUGGUCGUGUGGACCUCCUGUGCCUCCAGCGUCUGUCACCGAGGGUUCGUGGCCUCCCAACCACCCUCCGAAGUAGAUGCCUCAGACCCAAAGCCUCUUCCUGCUCCGUUGUUCUUGCCUCUUGGCCAACUCUGCCUCCAGACAUUGACAUCUAUUGACUAACAUCCUCACCCAGGUUCUUCCUCUUCUGUUGCCCCAGGAAAUCUGGUUAAAUGCCAAGUUCAUGGUCCUGUUCCCAUCCCUUUGGUACCAUCACACGUGCUCUGCAUUUGGUCUUAACCCUGAACCCCUCUGUACCAUAUUCUCCAUGUUUUUCUGGGAAAUGUUCAUUGCAAAACACCGCUCUGGGACCCCCUGAGAAAUAGAAAACAGAAGCUUUCUACUCAUGGCCCACAGAGAAGCUGGACUAACUUGGACUGAGGGGAAUGUGCAUUUGAACUGAAUGUGCAUCUGAAUUCUAGAACAUCCCGAGGAGGGGGCAAGUCUUACUAUUUAAAAGCUCACAUAAUAAUUUCAACUAGGCUUACUAAAGUUGAGAUGGUAUCAGCCUUUUGAUCUCUUGCUUUGAUAUCCAACUUGAUGGGAAUAAUUCUAAUCACUAAGUUAAUCUCUCAAAUUAAAAGUGUUUCUGAAGGAAAUGUGUUUCUAAAAUUGGUGAUUGCGGCCUAAGCUUUUUUGGACCUUGCCAAACCCAAUUCAUUCCUCUGGUCA